UGGGGAAUAUUGCACAAUGGGCGCAAGCCUGAUGCAGCCAUGCCGCGUGUGUGAAGAAGGCCUUCGGGUUGUAAAGCACUUUCAGCGAGGAGGAAGGUGGUGAGCUUAAUACGCUCAUCAAUUGACGUUACUCGCAGAAGAAGCACCGGCUAACUCCGUGCCAGCAGCCGCGGUAAUACGGAGGGUGCAAGCGUUAAUCGGAAUUACUGGGCGUAAAGCGCACGCAGGCGGUUUGUUAAGUCAGAUGUGAAAUCCCCGGGCUCAACCUGGGAACUGCAUUUGAAACUGGCAAGCUAGAGUCUCGUAGAGGGGGGUAGAAUUCCAGGUGUAGCGGUGAAAUGCGUAGAGAUCUGGAGGAAUACCGGUGGCGAAGGCGGCCCCCUGGACGAAGACUGACGCUCAGGUGCGAAAGGCGUGGGGAGCAAAACAGGAUUAGAUACCCUGGUAGUCCACGCUGUAAAACGAUGUCGAUUUUGGAGGUUGUGCCCUUGAGGCGUGGCUUCCGGAGCUAACGCGUUAAAUCGACCGCCUGGGGAGUACGGCCGCAAGGUU
This 552-nucleotide ribosomal RNA is filed under the name uncultured bacterium. RNAcentral's name for it is "partial 16S ribosomal RNA". It matches the Rfam family "Bacterial small subunit ribosomal RNA", at positions 355 to 895 of the family's 1533-position model. The record is from RNAcentral.